AUAUGGGUAAAUUUAUUUACUCAUAUUUGGAUGAAAAAAUAAACAUUUACGAGAGAACGAUAAGUAAUCCACAGAACAACAAACCAAGUGUUGUUGUCUGUAACAGUCAGUCCUCAGGACUGGAACAGUUUCCCUAAAAUCUUUUACACUCCGUAACUCGAAGACUAGUUAGCGAGUAAUCAACCCCAAAACCCCACCUGCAGUGAAAAACUACUAUCGAAAAUAAGCAUAUAAUGUCGCGAUACACCCAUCUUGGAUGUCGGAUUCAGCAGCAAUUAGACGCGCCCGCGCCCCGUCAUCAGAACACCAACAGCCGUGGAACUACAAACCGCUCAUUGAAGGGUUUGCAGCUGUUACAUCCGCAACCUCCGCAACUACCUCCGGUGGAAACUGUCUUUUUUCAUCUAUGCUGCUUGUGGGAAGUAUUUUCACCUCCCGCCGGUAUAAGCAAAUACAUCUCUUCAGGCUGUUAUAAACCUACUUGUUCCCGUGAAAAACUGAAGCCGUUCCUUCCGGCUAGUGUCGACUGUCUAUAAGACUACUAUCGGAACGAUAAUAUUAGCGGUGCUUUCUACCAUCGGGGUGGAACAUCUCCUGCACGACAUAAUGGGCGAGUUGUACUUCCUGCAGUGCUAAUCCAAGCGGCAACAGGAUUUGGCGAAUUCACACCAAAGCUGCCCAGACGUGUGGUUAUGACCCACGGGCACCGAGAAACAACGGAAACAGCAAACCAUCGAUCUGAUUCAGGGGCUAGCGAGCACCGCAGGCAUUCAGUAUAGCAACCGAGACACCACAAUCAAGCAGCCUAUUUACUGCGCUGACAGCCCAUCGAAAGCCCCGACACAAACCAUAUGGAAUGCGGAAUCUGCCUACUGGUAUCCACUAAAUCAUUAGACACCUUUCUUGCCAGAUGCCGUUGAGCACUGUAAACAUCUUGUUACCAGCGGAAUUUGCCAGUAGCAUAAAAUGCCUAUCACCUACACAGGCAUAUUCCUGAUUCCAGCGUUUUUAAUUUAGCAGAUUGUCCCGUCAACUACUCCUAAAACGGUCGUCUGUCAUUUAUAUUUAACUUUAGCUAGUCAAAAAUAAAAAUUAUAAUAUUUAUAUUUGAAUAAAUUCAUAUGAUCCUUUU
Long non-coding RNA from Armigeres subalbatus, 1132 nucleotides. RefSeq lists it as uncharacterized. The transcript is spliced from 4 exons. The record is from RefSeq and is a predicted model, not a curated record. NCBI's taxonomy places the organism in Eukaryota, Metazoa, Arthropoda, Insecta, Diptera, Culicidae.